Long non-coding RNA from Xenia sp. Carnegie-2017, 1879 nucleotides. RefSeq lists it as uncharacterized. Lineage: Eukaryota; Metazoa; Cnidaria; Anthozoa; Malacalcyonacea; Xeniidae. The record is from RefSeq and is a predicted model, not a curated record. The transcript has 2 exons.
UUUAACUUUUCUGAAAGUUUUAAGGAAUCUCAGUCGUACUUUAUGCCGACUCAUCGUCAUCGCAUGUUCGAUUUGGUCAAACGAUCACACUAUGAAUCUUUAUGACACCAUACGACUGAACUUUGAUGAUUGAACUACAGAACAUUUAUUUGGUGUUUCAGGAUAUUUUUCUGUGUUAUUUAAGAAGAAAACAUCCAGGAAUAUCUGCCAAUUUAAAGCUGCACUGAUACCAUUAAGACCAAUAUAUUACUAUAAAUUCUAUAUAGUUAUAGUUUUAUUGAACAUGUAAUUAACAUUUUAUCAGUGGUUAGGUAGAUAAAUAUACGAUAUAUUAAUCUUGUAAAUGAUCAUAUACCAUUAUAAUGUAUCUGAGAAAUAGUGAAUUGCAUAAGAGCAUACACACUGGCUGAACUGAAGUUUUGUACUGUUGUUUAAAUUUUGGUCAAUUACAAAGACAGACAUGAGCUAAUUAAAUGAUAAGAUAAUUUAUUACAUACCUUUGGUAUACAAAUAAAUCUUAGUUGGACUAAAAAACAACUUUGACCAUGACGAAUGGCAUCUAUGCUGUGUGUUGUAGCAAUAGUUGGUAGUUGAGUAAUGUAUUCUUGCAGUAAAUCUCAUAGACCAAAUUUCCACUAUUUAUUUUAUUUUAAUAGAAUCCUUCUGCUGUAGUUUUUUACUAGAAAUAAAUAUAAACUGUAUGGCGGAACUGUCCUGAGAAUUAAAAGCAAUGAUCUUUAAUUUUGUCAAUUGUCUUGAAAACCUAUGCUCAUAUUUUAUUUUCCUUGUAGACUCAAACAAUACUCAACAUUGCUCAAUUAAUGAUUGUAUAUGCUUUAUCUGUAAUAGUAGUUUGUUCCUACAGAUUCAAUAAAACAUAAAAAAUGAUUAAAUAUGAUAAUUCAAAGUGGAAGUGGUAUAUGGAAAACACAAUUUACAAGUACUUCUUGCAAACUUUACAUAACAUCAGCUGUGGUUUCAAACAUUAAUUAAUGUCAAAUACUGGAAAAAAAUAUAAAGGAAAAGGAGGAGGACGAACAUUUUGUUCUGUUGUUAACUGUUCAAACAGCAAGCAUUCACAUCCACAUCUAAGUUUUUUCAGAUUUCCAAGAGAUCCCAAAAGAUCAAAGGAAUGGGUGAUUCUCAGCAGAAGAGAGGAUCUUAUGAACAAGGAUGCAAACUACCUUUACAAAAAUUGUCGAUUAUGUACUGAUCAUUUUGAAGAUACGAUGUUUGCAAAUGAUUUGAAAAAUCGAUUAAAGACUGAUGCAAAACCCACUCUAUUUAGCAUUCCAAAUGCACCCCCCACUGUAGGCACAAAACGGAGAACAAUUAAAAGAGUGGACCAAUCACAUAUACAAGGUAAACACCAAACCUAGUUUCAAGAUGAAAUUAGACAAAUUUUAACAAAUUAUUUUACAGCCAAAAAAUCUAAAAUGGAUAAAGAUCAGGAAAAAAGGAAAGAUGGUAUGAGAAGUUCUAUGGUAUGAUUUCAUUGUUGAGUCCAAAAAUACAUGGGAAACUAUUUCAGUUCUAAUUCUUGACCAUUAGUAUUGGUGAGAUGUAAUUAUAGCUAAAGUUAUUCAUUUUGCAUUUUAUUUUCCAUCUCAAGCUUUUGGUCACCACUUUGAAUUAGUUAUUACCCUUAAGUUUAUGUUUAGAGCCACCAGAUACACAUUCACCAUUGCACGAAGUUGAUGAAAGUGGGCCUAAUACAGAAAGACAAACUUCAGAUUUUUCUUGCCAAACAAGUGCUAUACUAUCCAAUAAUACACCUAGAAAAGAAAAACAACAAAAGUUAAUAAAAGCCCAGGCAAGGAAAAUAAGUCGUUUUACGCAUGCAAACAAAAAUCCAUCAACACAUAAAAAUUUGGAAAAA